RNAcentral lists this ribosomal RNA (255 nucleotides) under uncultured bacterium. RNAcentral describes it as "partial 16S ribosomal RNA". It matches the Rfam family "Bacterial small subunit ribosomal RNA", at positions 524 to 776 of the family's 1533-position model. The record is from RNAcentral.
GACAGAGGAUGCAAGCGUUAUCCGGAAUGAUUGGGCGUAAAGCGUCUGUAGGUGGUUUAUUAAGUCUACUGUUAAAGAUCAGGGCUUAACCCUGAGCAGGCAAUAGAAACUAAUAAGCUAGAGUACGGUAGGGGCAGAGGGAAUUCCCGGUGUAGGCGGUGGAAAUGCGUAGAGAUCGGGAAGAACACCAACGGCGAAAGCACUCUGCUGGGCCGAAACUGACACUGAGAGACGAAAGCUAGGGGAGCAAAUGGG